UGUGGCAAUAAGAAGACAUUUUUUUAAAAAAAAUUUUUGAAGAGAUGGAUUAGUGGCACAGGCUACACUAGGGAUAAACCUUGAAAUAUUAGGCUAACUUAAGAAAACCAGUCACAAAGACCCCAUGUUGUAUGAGUCCAUUUAUAGAAAAUAUGCAGAAUAGGCAGAUUAAUGGAGGCAAGUGGGUUAGUGGUUUUCAGGAACUGAGAGGCAGAACGGAACAAGGUGGCAACUAAUGGAUACAGGAUUUCCUUUCUUUUUAUUUUUUUCCGAGUCCUGAAAACAUUCUAAAAUGGAUUGUGGCAAUGGUGGCGCAGCGCUGUGAAUAAACUAAGAGACAUUAAAUCGGGGCAGGGGGGCGUUUUUAGUUCUGCUUUUUUGGCCGCACUCACGUUGUAUGAUAUUGGAAUUUAAUUUUAUUUUUUUUUUAAGAUACAUACUUCAUACUUGAUAUUUUUAAAGAAAGCCUUACCUAUAGUCUCCUACCCCCGCCCCAUGUAUUCUUUUUGCGGGGGGAGCUUUUUAGGGCCACGCCUGCAGCAUAUGGAAGUUCCAGGCUAGGGGUAGAAUUGGAGCUGUAGCCUACGCCACAGCCACAGCAACUUCAGAUCCGAGCUGCGUCUGUGACCUACAUCACAGCUCACAGAAACACUGGAUCCUUAACCCACUGAGCGAGGCCAGGGAUCGAACCUGCGUCCUCAUGGAUACGAGUCAGACUCCUUUCUGCUGAUCCACGAUGGGAACUACCCCCCCCCCAUGUAUUCUAUUUCCUCUCCCACUUCUCACACUUCUCAAGUCUGAAAAAGCAAGGAUCUCCAUAGCAAUCCCUUUCUGAAGAUGCCCAGGGUUAUAAGGAUAUUAUUUUGAUUUGAUUCAAGAAAAUCAAUUUCCUGUCAUAUCUCCCUUAGUCCAGUGUGAUCCAUGGAUGAUGCCCCCAGAGAUCUCCAAACUAUAUAUUCUCCUGAACAGGACUUAAGUUCUUUUUUGAAAACAUUAUUAUUUAUAUUGAUGAGUCUAUUCCAACAUAGUAUUUUGGUGAGAUCUGUCUCAGGGUUUCAGUCUCCUCAAAGGAGAAAAUAUUGCAGUGUUUUUUCUACCUGGUUCUUCCGGGGAUAUGAUAGUUGAUUCACAUGGAAAGAGGAAAAAGAAAAAGGAAACCAGUAAUUAGCAGCUUUAUUCUCCAUCAGAACACCAAACUAAAAUCGGUGAGGGUCUUGAAGACCUGAGCUGUAAGAAAACACAGCUGGUGUGAUGCACAGAACACAUUUAUUGAGAAAAUACAGCGUGGAGUUCCCUAGUGGCUCAGCAGGCUAAGGACCCGGUGUUGUCAUCGCAGCGGUUCAGGCCCCUGCUCUGGCACAGGUUCUAUCCCUGGCCCUGGAACUUCCACCAAAAAAAAAUACUCUUUUGAGAAAGCUCAGCUAUGGCUGAAACUUGGUCUCUGUCCACUGGUGCCAAAUAGAAACACAGAGACAGUUUUGGGUGAAGGAGGAAAAAAAUAGCUUUAGUUGGUUUGCCAGGCAAAGGGGGCCACAGCAGGCUCAUGCCUUAAAGACUGUACCCUCCUUUAGGGAAGAACUGCAGGGAGUUUUAUGGUCUCAAAGGAGAAAAACAGGGUUUCAGAUAAGAAUCAGGGUUGGGGCAGGCAUGCAUUCUUCUUUCUCUGGGGGAAUCUUUGUCAUGGAAGCUGGUGUCAGGCCAUCUCAGCCUGAUCUGUGUGGUGGUCUGCUGGGUUAUCGCCUAGAAUGGAAGUACCUGUGAAAGGGGCAUAUUGAUCAGAGAUGAGAACAAACCAGGAAAGUUCCUGAGAAACAUCAUGAGCUCAUCAUCUUCUACCCACAGGCCAUUAGGCUCAGGGAGCCUCAUCCUUAGCUCACAGGUGAUGUGUUGAGGGUGCCGUUAAGCCAGGGAGGAGCACCAAGCCAGGGAGAAGGGCUCCAAGCUGUUCAGUUUUAAAUUCCUCAUGUCUACAAGAAGCAUAGGGAAUAUCCCUUCUCUCUUGGGUGUAUAAGAUGCCUACAUCAUUAUGUGUAUCCCUUGAGAGGGAACCAGGAAACCCCCCCCAAGGCUGUACUGUUGUGUCUUGAUGGCUCCUCCCUGGUCUCUGCCUCCCCUCCCUUCCCUGAUCAGCACCUGUCUGAACCUGCCCCUCGGAGCUCAGGAAAAGACCUGGAGGCUGAAGGAGGUCCAUUUCCUAAAAAGAAGCAAUGGGGAACACAGAGGCUUGUGUGCCCGGGCACCCCACUGGGCCCUCCUCAGUUACACAGGCAUCCUGAGGGUACCUUCCCUGGCAGAGGUGUGAAGCCCUAAAGCUGGUACCAGAAGCAGCAGCCUGUGGACAGGUGGCCCAGCCCCUCAGUCUCUGCUCAGUGACCCCAGCUUCUCCAGGAGCAUCAACAGCCCCCACCCUCAUGACCCACCUCCCCGCAGGGUCACACCCACAGCCACCCAAUCCCAUAUCCCACCUCCACGCUCACGCCCCUCCCCACUCCACCACCCCCCAGCCGCGGAAAACGCCCAGUUUCUCCUCUUCCACCAGGUCCUGCUUGCACAGACUCAGCUCUUAGCUGAGAUUCCACUGCCGUCACCCACGUCACUGUCUUCCUAUAUAUUCAAGAUGGUUUUCAUUCCGCUGCUGUUUAAUUUUCCUUCUGGGGGUGGGGGGAAUCAUAAUUUACACUCCUACCCACAAAUGCAUGCACACACAUCAGUUUCUAACAUGAAAGGAUCUUGGAAUGAUUUGAAAGAGCCCCAUUAGGUCUUACAGAAAAAUACCAUUUGUCUUCCUCCUGGCAUGUAUUUGCUAUUGGAGAAAUCUGGCCUCAUUAAUCAUAAAUGAUUUUGGUAGAGACGUGUUAGGAGUCCUGAUGCCAAAUCCAUCAGAUAAUGCCUUAAGAAGUUUUCACUCAUCAAGGACCUCAUUAACUGCUCGUACUAGCUAUCUUUUAUUCUUCUUUCCACGAUACCAAUUCUUUCCUUAAAUUUCCCUCAAAAACAUAAUUCUCUGUUAUCCAUCAGGAAAAAAAUAGUAUUUUCCUGGCAUAUUUGGUUGUGUUGUUGUCAUGUUUUAUUUCUGCACUUUCAUUUCCACAUCGUCAAUCACUCCCAAAAAGCAGUUGGUGACACUGACUAUUAAACAGACAUAUUCAAAUGUCUACUCUCCCCACUACAUGCUUCUCAGAUUUUCCCAACCUGAUACUUACUCUUCUCAUGCAGACAACCAGUACACAGAAUCUAAAAUUCAUCACCAUAAUCUUCAUAAAAUAAAAUAAAGGUAUUGGGUUACAGGGGGAAAAGGUAACGAAACUGACAGCAGUAAUGACCUGAACCCAGCCUAAACCCAGACUGGGACUUGAACCCAUGUUUUACAUUAGAAUCAUUUACCCUAUGUCUGGACUCACUGAGGUUCAGGUUCUUCAUGUCUUCAUGCAGAAGGAAUUCAGUGAGAGACAAAGGGACAGGCAAGAAAUAGAUGUAUUAGGAUAGGACGCUUGUGAGAGAUGCAAGUGGACAGGCAUGGAAGCUCUGCCCCAAGGAUCCCAUGGGCUACAGUUUUAUCCUUCAAGGGGUGUGGGGGUGGGAAAAGCCUGCCUCUUCCUUUCUGGGAGGAGUAGCUCCUCCGUAGUAUCCGGUAGGUGUGUAUUCAAAUCAGCCAAAGGGCAAUCCUCAAACUCCAGCCCUUGGUCUGAAUCCGAAUGUGGGGCUCCCCCUACCCCCCAUCCAACAACCUGAGGCAAUUCUGCACUAGUCAAGCAAGCCUGUCUUGUGCUGACGGCUUUCUUGAGCGAUUUAUGAACCUACAGGGAUCUCCCAACACCCCCUAGGUUUCCCUCUCUAUCUAUGGUCCCUUAUUGGGGCUUCUACAACCACCUGUGCCAACGCCAUCCGUAUCCAUAGUACUGAAUGAAAUAUGAGUUGAUAGAUGUGUAAAAUCUGGCAAAAUUAUCAAAAAGAUACUAAGAUAACUUUAGUUCCCCACUAAAGUGGGGAACUGAACCUUUCUUCAGACGAAAUACAAGACGGAUUUUUGCCACCCAUUGAUUCAUUUUAAAAUAUUUGGAACGUGCCAAUUACAUGCAUGGAAUUUGAUGAAAUAAAGAACAAGCCUGUUAAAAAAAAGUUUUCAUUCUGAGACGAUAUCUGUCUAUGUAGGACUGGGUCACUUUGCUGUACAGCAGAAAUUGGCACAACACAGUAAAUCACCUCUCAUAAACAAUAAGAGAAAAUAAAAACGUUUACUUUCUUUUUUUUAUUUUCCCACUGUACGGCAAGGGGAUCAAGUUAUCCUUACAUGUAUACAUUACAAUUACAGUUUUCUUCCCCACCAUUUGUUCUGUUGCAACAUGAGUAUCUAGACAAAGUUCUCAAUGCUAUUCAGCAGGAUCUCCUUAUCAUCUGUUAUCAUUUGGACGAGUUUCGUUUUCCUUGAAAAUUAUUUCAUCUUGGAGUUCCCGUCAUGGCUCACUGGGUUAAGAACUCGACGAGUGUGCAUGAAAAUAGGGGUUCAAUCCUUGGCCUCGCUCAGUGGGUUAAGGAUCCGGCAUUGCCAUGAGCUGCAGUGUAGGUCACAGACGUGGCUCAGAUGCUGCGUUGCUGUGGCUGUGGCUGUGGCUGGCAGCUUCAGCUCCGCUUCAACCCCUAUGCUGGGAAUCUGCAUAUGCCACAGGUGCAG
Molecule: long non-coding RNA, 4672 nt
Filed under: Sus scrofa (pig)
Lineage: Eukaryota; Metazoa; Chordata; Mammalia; Artiodactyla; Suidae
Description: lncRNA (ENSSSCG00035006203.1)
Source: RNAcentral